Molecule: ribosomal RNA, 253 nt
Filed under: uncultured bacterium
Lineage: Bacteria
Description: partial 16S ribosomal RNA
Rfam family: Bacterial small subunit ribosomal RNA
Source: RNAcentral
UACGGAGGUUGCAAGCGUUGUUCGGAAUUACUGGGCGUAAAGCGCGUGUAGGCGGCCUUCUAAGUCUGGUGUGAAAGCCCGGGGCUCACCCCCGGAAGUGCAUUGGAUACUGGAAGGCUGGAGUACCGGAGAGGAGGGUGGAAUUCCUGGUGUAGCGGUGAAAUGCGUAGAUAUCAGGAGGAACACCUGUGGCGAAGGCGGCCCUCUGGACGGAUACUGACGCUGAGACGCGAAAGCGUGGGGAGCAAACAGG